AUACGUAGGGGGCGAGCGUUGUCCGGAAUGAUUGGGCGUAAAGGGCGCGUAGGCGGCCCGGUAAGUCUGGAGUGAAAGUCCUGUUUUUAAGAUGGGAAUUGCUUUGGAUACUGUCGGGCUUGAGUGCAGGAGAGGUAAGUGGAAUUCCCAGUGUAGCGGUGAAAUGCGUAGAGAUUGGGAGGAACACCAGUGGCGAAGGCGACUUACUGGACUGUAACUGACGCUGAGGCGCGAAAGUGUGGGGGGCAAACAGGAUUAGAUACCCUGGUAGUCCACACUGUAAACGAUGAAUGCUAGGUGUAGGGGGUAUCGACCCCUUCUGUGCCGCAGUCAACACAAUAAGCAUUCCGCCUGGGGAGUACGGCCGCAAGGUUGAAACUUAAAGGAAUUGGCGGGG
RNAcentral lists this ribosomal RNA (397 nucleotides) under uncultured bacterium. RNAcentral describes it as "partial 16S ribosomal RNA". It matches the Rfam family "Bacterial small subunit ribosomal RNA", at positions 523 to 918 of the family's 1533-position model. The record is from RNAcentral.